UGAGGAAUCUUGCGCAAUGGGGGAAACCCUGACGCAGCAACGCCGCGUGAGGGAAGAAGGUCUUCGGAUUGUAAACCUCUGUCCUUGGGGACGAAAAAAAUGACGGUACCCAAGGAGGAAGCUCCGGCUAACUACGUGCCAGCAGCCGCGGUAAUACGUAGGGAGCAAGCGUUGUCCGGAAUUACUGGGCGUAAAGGGUGCGUAGGCGGUCAGGCAAGUCAGAUGUGAAAUCCCCGGGCUUAACUCGGGUGGUGCAUUUGAAACUGCUUGACUUGAGUGCAGGAGAGGAAAGCGGAAUUCCUAGUGUAGCGGUGAAAUGCGUAGAUAUUAGGAGGAACACCAGUGGCGAAGGCGGCUUUCUGGACUGUAACUGACGCUGAGGCACGAAAGCGUGGGGAGCAAACA
This 405-nucleotide ribosomal RNA is filed under the name uncultured prokaryote. Its description in RNAcentral is "bacterial SSU rRNA". It matches the Rfam family "Bacterial small subunit ribosomal RNA", at positions 355 to 774 of the family's 1533-position model. The record is from RNAcentral.